CACGCUGCGGCAGGCUAUCACAUGCUUAUCGAGCGAGAAGCUAACUUCGGUUAGGUGGACAGCGGCGCACGGGUGAGUAACGCGUGGGAAUUUACCUUUCGGCGGGGGACAACAGUUGGAAACGACUGCUAAUACCGCAUACGCCCUACGGGGGAAAGAUUUAUCACCGAAAGAUAGGCCCGCGUUAGAUUAGGUAGUUGGUAGGGUCAAAGCCUACCAAGCCGACGAUCUAUAGCUGGUUUGAGAGAACGAUCAGCCACACUGGAACUGAGACACGGUCCAGACUCCUACGGGAGGCAGCAGUGGGGAAUCUUGCACAAUGGGCGAAAGCCUGAUGCAGCCAUGCCGCGUGAGUGAGAAGGCCUUACAGGGUUGUCAAACUCUUUAUAGACUGUGAAGAUGAUGACGGAUAACAUCAGAAAAAGCACCGGCUAACUUCGAGCCAGAAACCGCGAGUAAUACGAAGGGUGCUAGCGUAGUACGGAAUUACUGGGCGUAA
Molecule: ribosomal RNA, 499 nt
Filed under: uncultured bacterium
Lineage: Bacteria
Description: bacterial SSU rRNA
Rfam family: Bacterial small subunit ribosomal RNA
Source: RNAcentral